This 273-nucleotide long non-coding RNA is filed under the name Felis catus (domestic cat). Its description in RNAcentral is "lncRNA (ENSFCAG00000047557.1)". Lineage: Eukaryota; Metazoa; Chordata; Mammalia; Carnivora; Felidae. The record is from RNAcentral.
AUUAAAAACUCUCUUGAGUCCCUACUGUCAUCAGUAAGUUAAAUCUCCAUUACAACUACACCGUCCUAACAUCCUACUCCAUCCGUGUCCUCUUCCAGGCUCUGCAUCCAGAAGGGAUGAAGCCUGAGGACUUGGUGAUCCUGGGAGGACUGGGGGGAAGUAUCCCACCACCACCUGUCGACUAGUAAAUUCCACGGAGGAGAUAAAAACAGCACUUACAGAUACGGAAGUACCCACUACCUACCAAAGAGAGACCACUUGCAAGCACAUAUA